GACGAACGCUGGCGGCGUGCUUAACACAUGCAAGUCGAACGGAAAGGCCCUGCUUUUGUAGGGUGCUCGAGUGGCGAACGGGUGAGUAACACGUGAGUAACCUGCCCUUGACUUUGGGAUAACUUCAGGUAACUGGGGCUAAUACCGGAUAGGAGCUCCUGCUGCAUGGUGGGGGUUGGAAAGUUUCGGCGGUUGGGGAUGGACUCGCGGCUUAUCAGCUUGUUGGUGGGGUAGUGGCUUACCAAGGCUUUGACGGGUAGCCGGCCUGAGAGGGUGACCGGCCACAUUGGGACUGAGAUACGGCCCAGACUCCUACGGGAGGCAGCAGUGGGGAAUAUUGCACAAUGGGCGGAAGCCUGAUGCAGCAACGCCGCGUGCGGGAUGACGGCCUUCGGGUUGUAAACCGCUUUCGCCUGUGACGAAGCGUGAGUGACGGUAAUGGGUAAAGAAGCACCGGCUAACUACGUG
This 468-nucleotide ribosomal RNA is filed under the name uncultured bacterium. Its description in RNAcentral is "partial 16S ribosomal RNA". It matches the Rfam family "Bacterial small subunit ribosomal RNA", at positions 28 to 507 of the family's 1533-position model. The record is from RNAcentral.